This is a long non-coding RNA of Orcinus orca (killer whale), 1477 nucleotides long. RefSeq lists it as uncharacterized. NCBI's taxonomy places the organism in Eukaryota, Metazoa, Chordata, Mammalia, Artiodactyla, Delphinidae. The transcript has 3 exons. The record is from RefSeq and is a predicted model, not a curated record.
CAGACUUGAAUAGAAACAUGGUCUCUUCCUGGAUCUCCAGCCUGCCAGCCUUUGAACUAGAACUAUACUGUUGGCUCUCUUGGGUCUCCAGCUGACUGACUACAGAUCUUGGGACUCGUCAGCCUGCAUAAUCAUGUAGACCUUUUUGGGUCAGAAUUGUGGAGAAAACAUCUGAGUCAGAUUACUAGGAUCUGAUGUGCAGGAAAAGCUCUUUGUAUGCACCAAGUCUGGACCUAUAACAUGGAAGAUUAUGAUCCACUAACCCUCCAGAUGACAGAAGCAAAGGAAGUUAAUUUGCUUGGGGUGAAAACAGUUAAGCAGAUGUCAUAUAGCAGGUAUGCAGGGGUAAUGAAGAGUUUGAAAACUAUCAUUUUCUGUUUCUAGAAACUUUGGAGGCAUUGACUUAUUCCAAGAGAAUUUUCGUGUCCUUAUAUUGAAUUAUCACUUUCUACCUAAAAUAGCCAUGAUUGUUUUCUGUCACUUAUCCUAGUUAAGACAACUUUCUAUUCUUCUGAUAACCCAUUUCAACGUUAUUAGGUCUAAAAUCUGAUUUAAUGACAGAUACAGCACACAGGAUUAAACCAAACUUUACCAAAAGUCAAACAGGUUUGAUUUGUUACUCCUUUUAUUUAAGAGGCAAUUUCAAAUGUAUGAAUGGGCGAUUAAUUACAAGACACUACUGAUGAUUUACAAAGCCAUCUUGGUUAUUGCCUAAUACUUUGUCCUUAUCUUUAUAGAGAUUGGUUUUUUUUAAAAUAAAUAAUCUGAUCUUAUGAAAAGUAUUUCAAAUACCAUGCAUUUCUAUGCAAUAGUCAUCUUAUUUAAAUGUUAAUAAAAUCUGUUUGCAUGUAGAUUAAAAAAAAUCAAAACAUGAAAAUAUCAAAAUGUCAAUUUAUAAUACAGUGUUACAAGUGGAUUAAAGUAUAAAAUGGAGUCAUAAUACACCAAGGCUUUUUUACUAGUUUAUGAAAUCUUCAGUUUAGUGAAGCUUAAAUCAAGACCUAAAAAUAUUUGGAAUUGUAACUAAGUUACAAACAAAUAAAUGGUCUACUCCCAGAGAUCAGGAGUCUAAUUGGAAUUACUGACUCUCCAUGGAGAGUCAUUCUGCACACAUUUAUCCUGUAGUUACAGGGUUGCAAACAGUUUCUGUGUAAGUUUUUGUCUAGACUUAUAAAAACUUUCAAUAAAGCCAUGGAGACAUUCAAUUGCUUCCUGUCUCACGGAAAAAGCUGUAGAACCCAAGUCAUGCUGCCUGUUAUAGGGUGAUUUCUGAGUUUGUGGCCUGCCUUUUAGUGCUUCAUGUGAAUCAAAGAAAGAAAACCAGGAACUAUUACUAUUAAUAAUACAGUGGAAGAAUUGUCUAGAAAACUUGCAUUGAACAAGAUUUUUACCAACUAUGAAAGUAAGCAAAGUAAUUAUUUUAUCAUAAUAUCCUUAUGGAGCACAGAGAGAAUUUGGUAUUUAUUUAUUCAUUUUG